This is a long non-coding RNA of Acanthopagrus latus (yellowfin seabream), 492 nucleotides long. RefSeq lists it as uncharacterized. The transcript is spliced from 4 exons. The record is from RefSeq and is a predicted model, not a curated record. NCBI's taxonomy places the organism in Eukaryota, Metazoa, Chordata, Actinopteri, Spariformes, Sparidae.
GAUGAUACUGACCUUUAGCCCCUGCAGCUGUUACACAUCAUGGUCACAACAUGCUAGCGCGCACACUGAUGUGCUGUGGGUCGGUCGGCUGUGCGUUACAGCAACAGUCCGGAAAAUGAGGCAAAAGCCAUCCGGGGCUCACUUUCUAAGCAGAGUAGAAGAGCGGGAGAAUUGUGCAAAGGAGCAAGAUUUACUGUAAAAAUAUUUGGGACCACCUGCAGCUGAAUCAUCAGACCAGGGACAGUCAUGCUCUUCAGCUGCUCUGGUUUACUCAGAGCCACCAGAGGUGACACCACAAGAGCAUGCUGCUCUUCCUGCCAACCUCACCCUGCCUCCAGCCACAGAGCCUGGAUGUUCAGAUAUGAGAAAGUCACCCUUCAUGAGGCCUGGUGGAGCUCUGCAUUGGACUGUCCCUCCUCAAGGGGAAGAAGUAGUGAUGGCUUUGCCUGGGAGAGGAGCCCAUGUGUGGUGAAGAGGACUGGGGGAGACGGC